Long non-coding RNA from Trachemys scripta elegans, 266 nucleotides. RefSeq lists it as uncharacterized. The record is from RefSeq and is a predicted model, not a curated record. NCBI's taxonomy places the organism in Eukaryota, Metazoa, Chordata, Testudines, Emydidae. The transcript is spliced from 3 exons.
CCUUGGGCUAGAGCGGGGGGCAAAGUCCAGGCACCAGUGGCCCUCCCUCUUUUAGGGAGCUUCCAGCACGUGCGCCAGCCUUCCCAAACACAAGAGGCUUACAGCAGUGUUGCAAUAGAUAGUCUUGGCUGACUGAGUCAGACUCUUACUAGACAGAAGACAAAUGGAGAAGGAAAGAAAAGAGAAGAAAUAAGGUUUCAGAUAAAGAUGGAGUCUCUCUUUGACCCGUAUGGUCCAAAGGAAUUGUCUUUGUCCUAAAAGUCAGG